CUGGGUUACAGUGCUCAGAGGCCCACUCCAGGCCAGGGACUUCCUUCUGCUGGCUUCAUGGCGGCGCGGUCUGCCUUCCGGAUGCUGCGGCGGCUCCUCAAGUCCAGCGCCCGGGGCUGCAGCUCAGGGGCUCCGGUGACGCAGCCCCGUCCCGGGGAGCCCUCGAGACCCGCCAGGGAGGGGCUGUCCAUGAGGCUACAGUACCUCCAGGAGCACGCAGCUCCCUUCUCUGCCUUCCUCACCGACAGCUUUGGCCGGCAGCACAGUUACCUGCGGAUCUCUCUCACGGAGAAGUGCAACCUCCGAUGCCGGUAUUGCAUGCCUGAGGAGGGUGUGUCCCUGACCCCCAAGGCUGACCUACUGACCACAGAGGAGAUCCUGACCCUUGCUCGGCUCUUUGUGAAGGAAGGCGUGGAUAAGAUCCGUCUCACAGGUGGAGAACCGCUCAUCCGGCCGGAUGUGGUGGACAUUGUGGCACAACUUCAUCGACUAGAAGGGCUGAGAACCAUUGGUGUCACCACCAACGGCAUCAACCUAGCCCGGCUGCUGCCCCAGCUCCAGCAGGCAGGGCUCAACGCUGUUAACAUCAGCCUGGACACUCUGGUUCCUGCCAAGUUUGAGUUCAUCGUCCGCAGAAAAGGCUUCCACAAAGUCAUGGAGGGUAUCCACAGAGCCAUUGAGCUGGGUUACAAGCCUGUGAAGGUGAACUGUGUGGUGAUGCGAGGCCUGAAUGAAGACGAGCUUCUGGACUUCGUGGCCUUGACAGAGGGUCUUCCCUUGGAUGUGCGCUUCAUUGAGUACAUGCCGUUUGACGGUAACAAGUGGAACUUCAGGAAGAUGGUUAGCUACAAGGAGAUGCUGGACACCAUUCGGCAGCAGUGGCCAGGGCUGGAGAAGCUGCCAGAGGAGGACUCCAGCACAGCCAAGGCCUUUAAGAUCCCUGGCUUCCAGGGCCAGAUCAGCUUCAUCACAUCCAUGUCAGAGCAUUUCUGUGGGACCUGCAACCGGCUGCGCAUCACAGCCGAUGGGAACCUCAAGGUCUGCCUCUUUGGGAACUCUGAGGUGUCCCUGCGGGACCACCUGCGGGGAGGAGCCUCUGAGGAGGAGCUUCUGAGAAUCAUCGGGGCAGCAGUAGGUAGGAAGAAGCGGCAGCAUGCAGGCAUGUUCAAUAUUGCCCAGAUGAAGAACCGGCCCAUGAUCCUCAUCGGGCUGUUUUUGGUGCUUCAAGAUUCCCCACCAGCAAGUUGGAGCACUUUCUCCCGGGAUCCCCUCUGUGUUUGGAAUCUGAGUGCCAGAGAGCAUCUCUCUGGCCAGAUGACAACUUUGCAGAAGAGACUCCGCAUGCCCAUGGCCCUUCCUCUGUCUCAGCAGUGUCUGGGGUCUAGCUCCCCUCAGAGACGCUACAGCUGCUACCCCAACUCCAACACUCACUCAAAGUGCCUCAGCAUAGGGUCCCAGGAUCCUGCUGUCCCCUCAGGACCAGGGCCAACCUCAACUCAGCUAACUCAUGUGGAUUCAGAAGGACGGGCAGCUAUGGUAGAUGUGGGCGGGAAGCCAGAUACAGAGCGGGUGGCCGUGGCCUCUGCUCUGGUCCUUCUUGGACCUGUGGCCUUCAAGCUUGUCCAGCAGAACCAGCUGAAGAAGGGAGAUGCCCUGGCAGUGGCCCAGCUGGCUGGAGUUCAGGCAGCCAAGCUAACUAGUCACCUGAUCCCGCUGUGCCACCAUGUGGCCCUGAGCCACGUGCAGCUGCAUCUGGAGCUGGACAGUCCACGCAAUGCCGUGCUGAUCCAGGCAUCCUGCCGGGCCCGCGGCCCCACUGGGGUAGAGAUGGAGGCACUGACCUCAGCUGCCGUGGCUGCCCUUACCCUGUAUGACAUGUGCAAGGCAGUCAGCAGGGACAUCGUAGUGGCGGAGGUCAAGCUCCUUAGCAAGACUGGAGGCCAGCGGGGGGACUUCCACCGGGCUUAAGAGUACCCCACUCACUCUCCAGCCACGUCUCCCAAAGGGGUGCAGUUUGGGCCGAGGAAAAGAUGUCACAUUCCUCUAAAUCUAGUCACUAUGACCUAAGGUCACCCUGUCUCUUUACCAUUGAGAUUUAUCAUAACCUGGGAGAUGUCCUCGACAUAAGACACCUCUGGCCUUGACACCUUCCAGGACCCUAGCAAUGGAACGUUUGAUACUGGACCCCCCACAUCAGUCAUAUUAUAUGGAUUGUUUCAGAUGGACAGCUUACUUUGGGUUCUCUCUCCUCUCUUCCCUGCGGAGAUAUAAGGGCUCAUUUAGCAGAGGACCCCAUUUAGAGGAAGGAAAAGCACAAACUUCCUAAAGAAUGUAUCCCAGUGUCCCCACUCCCUGAUCUCUGGCCUCUCCUCCAAUGGAAUGAACUUACGGACUACACCCCUAAGAACUCUAGUCCUAAGAACUCAUGCCAACCCUUACCCACACCUGGUUCUGCUCACACCUGUCUGAUCUGGCACCUAUCAGAGAAAGAAGAGUCGAAGGUGACCUUCGCCCUUACAACGCACAAAUAAAGCCACGGUGCCAGCUCUGGACUUGAGGCUUAGGACCUUUGUCUGUGAGAAGAGCAUAAGCUGCUAAGUUUCGCCCAUCAGCCCCAUUCCGAGACACUCCCUGAAAGGGGGUGGGAAGAGGGACCCUAGAAAGGCCAAGGGGCAUAUUUUCACUGUGGGAGACAGUGAGAUGCAGAAUGCGUCCUAAGGCAGUGGACAGCUGGGAGUCCCAGGCUCAACUGCAUUACCAACUCUUGGGGAUCAGGCUUAUGAACUAGAACCUCCCAGUUGAUGCACCCAUACAACAGCCUGGCAUGCUGGGUUCUCAAAGGUGGUCUGUUUGCAGAGGUGCCCCUGGCCUGGUGUCCCCUCUGCCUUGUGUGAUGGCAAAUGCUGAACAAUUGGCUCUUUAAAACAUGAACGGGUUCCUGUGACAAAUGUCCCCAACUCAAGCCAUCCACAUAACCUCAGUUGGUUUGGAACAUUCCAGAAAAUGUACAUUGGCCCUCAUGGAACUGGAUGAAACUGCCAGGAGCUAGCUUCAGCCCACCACUGGCCCAGCUCACUCCUGUACAACCCAAGUCCACAUAGGAAGAAAAACUUCUAGGCAGGUUGGGCAGCUGGCAAGUGGUCUUGGCAUGAAGGUUGACAGAUGUCCUGAGGAGGUGGUCACAGCUCCUCAGUUGGUGGAAAUAGGAGUGGAUGGGAAGCACCUGUACCCGACUCUACCCACCUGGAGAGCGUCGUCCUUCUACUCCCUGGACAAACUUACAUUUGGGGAAGUUUGCCGCUGCUGAGAAGGGAUGUGUUGGCUGAACUGUGAAUCUUGCAUUGUGCACAAAGUUACCUGGAGCAGUGGGCCCACAGGCAGCAGGAAGGGUAGGGCAGUACUGGGGUAGACAUCAUCUAAAACUGAGGACCCCCGCUGGGCACCAGUCACUUCCUGCUCAGUCACCCACAGUGGUCCGUGGUCCAAGGCACUGUUGAAAUCUGGUUACAA
This is an RNA transcript of Microtus oregoni (creeping vole), 3510 nucleotides long. It is a transcript of the gene named molybdenum cofactor synthesis 1, with no coding region annotated. The record is from RefSeq and is a predicted model, not a curated record. The transcript is spliced from 12 exons. NCBI's taxonomy places the organism in Eukaryota, Metazoa, Chordata, Mammalia, Rodentia, Cricetidae.